This 72-nucleotide transfer RNA is filed under the name Marmota monax (woodchuck). RNAcentral's name for it is "tRNA.Ala". Lineage: Eukaryota; Metazoa; Chordata; Mammalia; Rodentia; Sciuridae. The record is from RNAcentral.
GGGGAUGUGGCUCAAGCGGUAGCGCGUGCGCCUGGCAUGCGCAGGUCACUGGGUUCGAUCCUCAGCACCACG